GGAAGCCCCUAGAGGUACUCUGGCGGCCGGGGGCGGGGGGUCGCGCUCGGACCCCCGCAGCAGGGCUCCAGCAGCGUUCUGCCACGCCCCCUGCGCCGGCCCGACCUCUCGGCCCGGCCGGGGGUCCCUGCGCUGACCCGGCAGGUCCACAGCCAGCAGGAGGCUCCUGGGUGCUCCCAGGCAUCACCCUCCGGAUGGGCCUGCGGGCACCUGCCCAGCCCCAGUGCAGACCAGUCGCGCCGGCAUCUUGCUCCAGAGCCAGUGGGGCUGGCGCUGCCCCUGCACCCUGGGGUCCCUGUCUGCCUGAGACCCCCAACAUGGAUGUGCAGAGUCCCGAAGCCCCCCGCAGUGACCUGCUGCAGGAUCUGGCAGAACAUCGAUUUCAGGAACUUGAACAACAUUUUCAAGCUCUGACUGAAACCUUAAACCUCAGAAAUAUCCUUUUCUAUCUCCACAUGGUGACACCUGAUGGUCCAAGGC
Molecule: long non-coding RNA, 480 nt
Organism: Sorex fumeus (smoky shrew)
Lineage: Eukaryota; Metazoa; Chordata; Mammalia; Eulipotyphla; Soricidae
Exons: 3
Source: RefSeq, a predicted model, not a curated record